CCUACGGGAGGCAGCAGUGAGGAAUAUUGGUCAAUGGGCGGAAGCCUGAACCAGCCAAGUAGCGUGCGGGAUGAAGGCCCUACGGGUCGUAAACCGCUUUUGCACGGGGAUAACACCCUCCACGUGUGGAGGUCUGCAGGUACCGUGCGAAUAAGGGCCGGCCAAUCCCGGUCCAGCAGCCGCGGUAAUACGGAAGGCCCGAGCGUUAUCCGGGUUCAUUUGGCUUAAAGGGAGCGUAGGCGGGCGUUCAAGUCAGCGGUAAAAUCGCGCGGCUCAACCUCGCCCCGCCGUUGAAACUGGGGUCCUUGAGUUCACAACAGGCAGGCGGAAUGCGUGGUGUAGCGGUGAAAUGCAUAGAUAUCACGAGGAACCCCGAUUGCGAAGGCAGCCUGCCGGGGUGCGACUGACGCUGAGGCUCGAAGGUGCGGGUAUCAAACAGGAUUAGAUACCCUUGUAGUC
RNAcentral lists this ribosomal RNA (459 nucleotides) under uncultured bacterium. RNAcentral describes it as "partial 16S ribosomal RNA". It matches the Rfam family "Bacterial small subunit ribosomal RNA", at positions 338 to 795 of the family's 1533-position model. The record is from RNAcentral.